AGCGCUGAGGAGGGCACAGGGGACAUGCCUGACUCCGUCUGGGUGCCAGGCCCAGAGCCGGGCAUUUCCCAUAGUCAUCGGCCCCCUGCCCGCCCCCAGCAUGUCGAGGAAGGGAGGAGUAUUUUUAGUUCCAUCUUGAAGACGGGCACAGGAACGGAGAAUAACUGCCUGAAAGCACUGUCCCUGGUCUGAGCGGCCCUUGGAAAGGCUCAGCCUGGCCCAGGCCUUGCUGCUUCCCAUAACAGUUACAAGCACUGGCUCUGCCAUCGGAGAUGAAAGGGUACACGUGGGGUUCUCCGACCUUCCAGCCGUGUGACCUCGGACUAGACCUCUGUUUGCUUAGCUCCCUCCACUUGCCUUCCUCGAAUGUGGGAACCCCGGACUCUGUCUUGGAAAAGACCUGGCCUCUCCUUCUCUGGGUUGGGUCCAUCCGUGGGCUCCCGCAGAGGCCUGUGGUUGCAGAGACCGGAAGCUGCAGCUUCAGGAGGGCAUGGGACAGAAAGUCAUCCCUCCGCUCACCUGAGACAAAUACUUAUCUGAUUGUUUUCUGAUAUGAUUUGGCUCUGUGUCCCCACCCAAAUCUCAUCUUGAAUUAUAAUCCCCACGUGAUGAAGGAGGGGCCUGGAGGGAGAUGACUGGAGCAUGGGGCAGAUUUCUCCCUUGCUGUUCUCAUGAUAGUGAGUGAGUUCUCACGAGAGCUGAUGGUUUUCGAGUGUGGCACUUCCCCUGCUCCCCGCCUCCUGCCACCAUGUAAGAUGUGCCUGCCUCCACUUCCACCAUGAUGAUUCACUGAGCUACACUAAGGACUCAGGGAAAGGCUAAUCAGAGACUCAGAAGAAUGCAACUGCUUGUCUCUUAUCUACCUGCGACCUGGAAGCCUCUUACUUCGAGUUGCUCUGCCUGACUGGACUGAACCAAUGUUCAUCUUACAUAUAUUGACUGAUGUCUUACGUAUCCCUAAAAUGUAUAAAACCCAGCUGUGUCCUGAACACCUUGGGCACAUGUUAUCAGGACCUCCUGAGGCUGUGUCACAGGUGUGUCCUUAAUCUUGGCAAAAUAAACUUUCUAAAUUGACUGAGGUCUGUCUCAGAUCCUUCAGGGUCACAGCAAUCAGGGAGAGUUGUCUUCCCCAAGCCCCGAGAGACUGCAGCAGGCCGAGGCUGGGGACUGUCAGGAGCAAGAGGAGCCAAGGUGUGGAUGGAGUGAAAGGCCCAUAGGGGGACCUGUCUACGCGAUGGAUAUACCCGAGGGCUCCCCUAUCCUGCCUGUAAUUACACGAAUGUGGGGGGGACAGUGGGGACAUGAGUCCACUGCACACUUACCCACCCUGGACCAAUGCAUAGUAGGUGCUUCACACACACUUGCUGAAGGUUCAGCCCAGCCUCAUGUCCCCUAGAAAGCCCUCCCUGGUCAUUCACCCUGGAUCAACACAUAGUAGAUGCUUCACACGCACUUGUUGAAGGUUCAGCCCAGCCUCAUGUUCCCCAGAAAGCCCUCCCUGGUCAUUCAGUCUGUCAUGGAGUGAGGCGGGUCAGUUUCAUGGUCCAGGACACAGACCCCAGGGCCAGGUCUGGCAGGUUUUCAUGCGACUUGGGCUCUCCCUGGCUGAAGGGUCUCGGGCACGUGUCUUAGUCUCCUUGCAUCCUAGUUUUGUUGAAGAAAAGAGUCAACCUCUGUAAAAUAUUUGAAGAGAUUUAUUCUGAGCCAGAUAUGAGUGAUCAUGGC
RNAcentral lists this long non-coding RNA (1725 nucleotides) under Homo sapiens (human). RNAcentral's name for it is "HSALNT0350594". The record is from RNAcentral. Lineage: Eukaryota; Metazoa; Chordata; Mammalia; Primates; Hominidae.